CGAGAAAGAAAAAAGCAAAUGCAAUGACUAAUAUUAGCACCCCCCCCAGAAGUGAUCCGAAGAAGAAAAUCGUGAAAAAUCGAUAAUUCCUCGCGUUUUUUUUCCUUUUCUCCCAACACAGAGACAUCCAGUGACAGUUUGUUGAGUGGGGAAAGAGCCAAACCCCAAAAAGAAUCGUCACUUUGGCUGUCAAAACACACGGAUGGCUCUUGUAGUUGUGUGAGAGUUGCGUGUGUACGAUUACGCGCAGUGUUGCCAGCUGGGAAGCAAUCGUGGGUGGAUCUGUCAAAUGUUGGGACACUCUCGUACUCUUUAGAUGUGUUGGAAGUGUGUUGUGAAUGGAAGUUUACUGUACGCAAGUCCAUUGUGCCGCCGUGUGUAGUAGAAGCAUCUGAGAGAUUGCACGCCCGAGAGAGAGCGAGCGAGCGAAUGUCUCCGUGUGGGAAAAUACACACUGCUGCAUAACGAAGUCGCGUGAAGAUAUCGAUUUUCAUCAUACACUCCACUCACAAGUCGCUGGAGAGUCGUCGUUCGAGUCAAGUGCAGAAUAUUAGGAACCAAAGCUCCCUAAUUUAUCUGAACGGAUCAAAUCUCGGGACUGGUGCUGGUCGCGGAACAGACCGUAGAAAUCUUGCUACGAGUUCCGAAGAACAAGUUCCGCGGUGGUGUAUCCGAAUCGACGACCGGAAGCAGCUGGAAGUUUUCUCUACCCGAGACGGAACAUCAUUCGUGAUUGAUUUUUCCCUCUUUUGACAGAUGAAAAAAGUUGGAUCUAUAGGUGGACGUCGUCUAACUCUAUAGCCAGUGUGCAGUAGGAACAAGUUGUGCGAGCACAGGAAGAACCAGAGUCUGUUCGCAGACAAAGUGAAAAGAUAUUCUUCCCCACGUAAAACAUCCGGAAGGCGUCAGGGGUGUUGAUUCGUGUGUCUCCAGCAGCUACAGAUGGGAUUUCCGGUGUGAAUGGAUCGUUGGAUCUCGCACGAAAAACAGCCCGGUUCUUGAGAGGCAGCAAAGCCACCUGCCGCGCGCGUUAGUUCUGUCGGCAGAGUAAAUAUAAGUAGAUAAGUCUUAGGAGUGCUUGCUUAGAGAGUGGUCCCGGAAGCCGAGUCUGGUCGUCUGUGGAAUCCGGUGUGAGUGUGCGUACCUUGUCUCCAGCAUCGAGCGAAGAAAGCGAAGUAGUCAUCUGCAAUACCAGCAGCAUCAAGAAGAUUCAGGGAAUAAGAAGAACCCGAAAUUCAAGUUGAGUGAUCAUAUUUGCUAGUAUCGGAAUAGUGUCCCCCGGGAGACCCAACCGAAGCCUCCAAAAUGACGAAGGAUAGAUUAGCAGCGUUACAGGCGGCACAAAGCGACGAUGAGGACAUGCCAGAAGAUGUGGUCGUGCCGGUGGAGGGCAGCUUUAUGGAGGAUUUUUUCAACGAGGUGGAAGAGAUCCGUAUCAUGAUCGACAAAAUCCAGGCGAACGUGGAAGAAGUGAAGAAAAAGCACAGUGCCAUCCUGUCGGCCCCACAGUCAGAUGAGAAAACCAAACAGGAACUCGAAGACCUUAUGGCCGAUAUUAAAAAAACUGCCAACAGAGUAAGAGGGAAGCUCAAGGGUAUCGAACAGAACAUUGAGCAGGAAGAGCAGACGAAUAAGUCCAAUGCCGAUCUUAGGAUACGGAAGACACAGCACUCGGCGCUGUCGCGCAAAUUCGUCGAAGUGAUGACCGAGUACAACCGGACUCAGACUGACUACCGAGAACGAUGCAAAGGAAGAAUACAACGACAAUUGGAAAUUACGGGUAGAGCGACGACAAAUGAAGAGCUGGAGGAGAUGUUGGAGCAGGGCAAUUCCGCCGUGUUCACGCAAGGGAUCAUCAUGGAAACCCAACAAGCUAAACAAACGCUCGCCGAUAUCGAAGCACGGCAUGCAGAUAUUAUAAAAUUGGAGAAUUCAAUUAGGGAGCUACAUGAUAUGUUCAUGGAUAUGGCAAUGCUCGUCGAGAGUCAGGGUGAAAUGAUUGAUCGUAUAGAAUAUCAUGUUGAACACGCAAUGGAUUAUGUCCAAACAGCGACACAAGACACAAAGAAAGCGCUUAAAUAUCAAAGCAAAGCCCGCCGGAAGAAGAUCAUUAUCCUGAUAUGUGUGAGCAUCCUUCUGAUAGUGGUUGCGUCAACAAUUGCCGGAUAUGUCGGUUUUUAAAAAGCAUCGAUGGUAACGAAACGAUACAAACAAAAGCAAAAAAAAAGAAAGAACAGAAACUAAUAUAGGAGUAAUGAUUAUCUCAGACAAACCACACAAAUUAAAAACUCCGCAAUCAUGCAUACACUCGUGUGUUCACACACCCGCGUUGUCCAAAGCUUAUCUUUCAUUGUGCUCCGUUGAUAAUAGUUGAUCAUCGAUGAAAGGCAAGCUUCCCAGCUUUAGAAAAACUGUUUUCAAUUUUCCAUUACGGCUGCCAUCGGUGCCGAGCAUGUAGUAGCAACAGCAGUUCAUUCUCCCAUCUCGGAAAUCGCGCUUCUUUCUCGGAAGGCGAUUGGACUCACAGUGUUACCAAGCAAUUCAUAAUCCACGUCACAACGGUGAUCAACCUGUGGCCACAGCUUCCUUCUCUUUCAUUACAACUCACCGGGACACAAAUCAGGUGGCACACAUCUCAGCUCGAAGAACAAAGCAGAAAAGAAAACAACAAUCAGUGAACAGUAUCACGCAAAUAACACAAACACAAACCCACUAACACCUGCGAUGGACAAACGAUUUACUACAGUAAGAAACAGAAAAAAAAAAAUGAACAUAGUAGCGAAUGUGACGAUCGUGCAAAACUUACAAAAAAAACAAAAAUCGUAGAUCGGUGGUGUGGAGAUAGCUUUCCAUCUCCGCCUCGCUUUUCCAUUCACGAUCUCAUAACUCGAUGAUUAUCUUACGAAUACAACCCUAUAGCUACAUGGAAAAGAUUCAACCACCCGCUCGUUGAUUAUUUAUUAAGUUUGUAUUAGGAUUCUAGGAUAGUUUUGUUUUCGUCCCGCACGUGUGCGGUUGCUGUUUAUCGAAACGUUGGGUUUGAUUUUGUUGAGUUACUAAGGCUAUCUAUACUAGUCAAAAAAAAAAACUGAUGAUGCUAAGUAUGUAACGAAGGACGACGCUGUAAUCAAGUCGCUCUAAUCUUAGUCUAGUUAAAAACACACACACAUACACACACAUGCCACACAAGACAUCAUACGAGGUUAGGUUUACUUCUGUGUAAAUAUAUUCGGAACAAGAAAGAACAAGCUUCACUAUUCACCAUUUUUUGCGUUGAAUCUAUUUAUCCAUUCGAACA
This is an RNA transcript of Ochlerotatus camptorhynchus, 3298 nucleotides long. It is a transcript of the gene named Syntaxin 1A, with no coding region annotated. The record is from RefSeq and is a predicted model, not a curated record. Lineage: Eukaryota; Metazoa; Arthropoda; Insecta; Diptera; Culicidae. The transcript is spliced from 9 exons.